RNAcentral lists this ribosomal RNA (253 nucleotides) under uncultured bacterium. RNAcentral's name for it is "partial 16S ribosomal RNA". It matches the Rfam family "Bacterial small subunit ribosomal RNA", at positions 524 to 776 of the family's 1533-position model. The record is from RNAcentral.
GACGGAGGGAGCAAGCGUUGUUCGGAUUUACUGGGCGUAAAGGGCGUCUAGGCGGAUCGGUCAGUCAGGUGUGAAACCCCCCGGCUCAACCGGGGAUCUGCACUUGAUACUGCCGAUCUUGAGUACGGAAGAGGAAAGCGGAAUUCCUGGUGUAGCGGUGAAAUGCGUAGAUAUCAGGAAGAACACCGGUGGCGAAGGCGGCUUUCUGGUCCGAUACUGACGCUGAAGCGCGAAAGUGUGGGGAGCAAACAGG